Molecule: ribosomal RNA, 253 nt
Filed under: uncultured bacterium
Lineage: Bacteria
Description: partial 16S ribosomal RNA
Rfam family: Bacterial small subunit ribosomal RNA
Source: RNAcentral
UACGUAGGGUGCAAGCGUUGUCCGGAAUUAUUGGACGUAAAGAGCUCGUAGGCGGUCUGUCGCGUCUGCUGUGAAAUCCCAGGGCUUAACCCUGGGCCUGCAGUGGGUACGGGCAGACUAGAGUGCGGUAGGGGAGAUCGGAAUUCCUGGUGUAGCGGUGAAAUGCGCAGAUAUCAGGAGGAACACCGGUGGCGAAGGCGGAUCUCUGGGCCGUAACUGACGCUGAGGAGCGAAAGCAUGGGUAGCGAACAGG